CUCUAGAAUACAAAAGCAGCUAGAGACACACACUUGACUCACAGCAAUCGAUGAGAAGCAGGGAUCGCCAUUUACAUAAGAGGAGACUGAGGCAUAGAGCAGAUAAGAAAAUGAAUGUAUCUGAAGCCACAAAGCUUUGAAGUGGUGAAUUGAGGACUUAGAGCUAGGCCUGUCUGACUCCAAAACUCAUGCUUUUCCCAGCCCUGCCCCGAAUCCCUGCCAAAAGCGACCUCCUCCAACUGCAGCCUCAGCACCGACACUCUGAUGCUCACUGGUGUGCCUCCUGCCCGCCUCUGCACCACACAAGGAGCUCUUUGAGGACAAGGACUAUGUUGAACUCAUCUUUGUAUUUCCAGCCAUCAGCACAGUGCCAGGGCCAGGGACGGCAUCAACAAACAUUCUGCUGAAUGAUUGAAUGGUCAAAGAAUAACUUUUUCUUAAGGACAAAAUCGUGACUCUGAUACCAAUAACCUAUGUCAAAAAUUGUAUUUAGUCCAUUAAUUCAUGGGGGAACCAGUAAGAUAUUACAAUUGGUUAAAAGAAAAUCUCAAAGAACCUGAAAUAUAGCUCUCAUGGUCUGCUCCAACUGCCAUAAGAAAACACCAUAGGCUGGUGGCUUCAACAAGGGAAAUCUAUUUCUCACAGUUCUGGACACUGGAAGUCCAAGAUCAAGGUUCAGGUGUCUGAUGGGGGCUCACUUCCUGGCUUGUGUGUCCUCUUGCUAUGGCCUCACAUGCCUUUUCCUCGUUGUGUUAUUACCAGUUUUCUGUAACUUCCAGGGCUGUAAAAUAGCUCAAAGACCAUGAAGCCUGAAAAAAACCCAGAAGAGUAUGCUAGACAAGACACCCAAUCAUCUUUUUGGUCCAUUUCAAAGUCUUUCACAAUUUUUCCCUAUAGAACGCAUCAAUGAAAACAGCUGUCUGGGAUGCCGCUGGGAGUGUCCACUCCCCCAUCCACCCCCAAUCCCACCUCUCUGGGGUUGCAUUUUGUCAUGCUUCUUUCAUCACUCACUUCCAUCAGACAGUGGGUGGUCCCACAGCUUGGGCCUGAGGCCUUUCAACUGCCAACCAACUCCACCCACAGUGAUACUGACACCCCAGACUCACACUUACAACUGCCUAUGCAGUAUCUCCUUUGUCUAGAGUAAAGAAAGAAGGCCGCAUUACAAUGUCCUAAAUGGAGGGGGCCUGUGACUCGGAACAGCCAUGCAAGGGCACAGAUGGGCUGGGAGGGAGAGCCCUACAGUGCGUGGACUCCCUUGCCACUCACAUUGGCAUUGGCCCAUGAAGAUCUUAGCCCAGGAAAGAGCGUGCCUGACACAGUCUUACAGGAAAGGGCAUCCCCAGGCUGCCCAGACCUAAGGGCUUCUACACCAGCUAGCUGGGCACCAUUGAAAAAUUUAAGACCUCACCAGAAACUGCACCUGACAAGGGGCCGAGAGUGUAGGAGGAAGAUCACGCAUGAGAAGGAGGUUCCCACUGGAAAAUCAAUGGAAAGCAAACCCUGGGAUGUCUAAAUGCCAAGAAGAGUCCAGCUAGCUCAUUGGAAAAUUCAACCUUGACUUCAGAUCCCUUGAAAAUCCAACAUUUGUUCUUAAAAAACAAUUUCUGAUGUCUUUUUCUGUCUUCCUUUUAUGAAGGUCAAGUUCUACCUGCAGAAUGGUGUUUGUGAUGCAAGUCCACAGUGUUUAUCUCUGGAAUAACAGUGGGCACGAACUGGCCAAGACCCCCAUCAGCCGCUGACAGCCUCACAUCUCUAGCCUGCACUAGCAACAGCAUCCAACUAGUUCGCUGGCCUCCAGUUUCACCCCUUAACCCAUCCCACAUGGAUGCCAGAGUCAGCUUUCAAGAUACAUUUAGCCUUAUCAUUUUCCUACGUAAAGUAUUUCAUUGGCUUCUGAUUGGCUGCCUGUAAGAUAAAGGCCCGUGGUGUCCAAGGUGUUCCACAACUGCCCCCUGCUCACCUCCCAGCCUUGUCUUCAUCACUCCCUGAUCCCUUCUUUGGGCUCUAGCCUCACCAGCUGCUGGGAGUUCUCUGCAUGCCCCAGGCCAUUUCUCCCACCUUUACUCACACCCUUCUUCUGACCAGCUCCUGUCCCCUCAGAGAUUGGUUCAGGGGUCUUCCCAGCACACAUGCUCUCUCUCUGCUCCAGCGUGCCUCCGGGAAUCACCACAUCGCUCCUCUAUGUUAACAGGUCUGCUCCUCCUUCCAUGAGACAAUGGGCUCCUUGAGAGCAAGCAUUGUUUCCCAUGCUGUUGACUGCUAUCCCUGCAAAAUGCAUGUCCAUCUAGAACCUGGGAAUGUGACUUUAAUUUGGAAAUAGUGUCUUUGCAGAUAUGAUCAGGGUUAAGAUGAGUUCACACUGGAUUAGAGUGGACCCUCACUCCAACGCAACUGGCAUCCUUUUAAGAGGGAAAUGUGGACUUAGCAGCACACGGGAGAAUGUCAUGUGAAGACAGAGACAGAUUGGAGUGAGGCUCUACAAGCCUAGGCAUGCCAGGGACUGCCAGAAGCCAUCAGAAGCUGGGAGAGAGGUAUGGGACAGAUUCUUUUCUCGAACCUCAGAGGGAGCAUGACUCUGCCGUCACCUUGAUUCUGGGCUUCCAGCCUUCAGAGCUGCGAGAGAAGAAAUGUCUGUUGCUUUAAGCCAUGCCGUUUGUGGUAAUUUGUUACUGCAGCCCUAGGAAAUUCACAGGGUUCUCAUCGGAGCCCCUAGCCUGGUGCUUGGUAAAUGCUUUGAGUGAAUUAAUGGAAGGUCUUACAAUACACUGCCUGCCUCACUCCCUGGCCUCAAAUUGUAGCUGAGGAAGGGAAAGAAGACUUGGGGCAAGAGUACUCCCUCUGACCAAGGGAGACGGGCUCAGUCAACACAUAUUUAUUACACACUUAGCAAGUGCAAACAGCUCUACCCCAUGUAGUGAAUCAGAAAUGGCUCCCAUCCUGACAGAAAUGACCUAACGCCAUGGAUAACAGUAUUAGUCCGUUUUCACACGCUAUAAAGAACUGCCUGAGACUGGGUAAUUUAUAAAGAAAAGAGGCUUAAUUGACUCACAGUUCAGUGUGGCUGGGGAGGCCUCAGGAAACUUACAAUCAUGGUGGAAGGAGAAGGGGAAGCAAGCACCUUCUUCACAAGGCAGCAGGAAGGAGAAUGAACACAGAUGCAACUACCAAACACUUAUAAAACCAUCAGAUCUCGUGAGAACUCAUUGUGAAAACGGCAUAGGGGGAGCCGCCCUCAUGAUCCAAUUACCUCCACCUUGUCUCUCCCUUGACAUAUAAGAGAUUAUGGGGAUUAUAGGGAUUAUAAUUCAAGAUGAUAUCUGGGUGGGGAUACAAAGCCUAACCAUAUCAAUAGAGCAGCCAUUGUCUGUGGAAUGGAUUUGCCUCUCAGGGGCGUCUGGGUGAGGCUCACCUCAGCAUGGGUGACUGGGCAGAGCUGCUGAGGGAGGUGAAGAUGUUGAGUUUGCAGAAGAGAGGCUUUUAAGGGGACAAACUCCAAACAUGGAACAGACAGGGGACUGAGAGAGAUGUGCCCCCUGUGGCUCCAAGACCAAUGUUUAGAAUUCACAGGAAAACAGAUUUAGGCUCAAUCUGAGGACGAGUUUUCUAAUAGGAGGGAAAGGAAACCAACACUGCUGAGUGCCUGCCCAAUGCCAAAUAACAGCCCCACGAGGCAGGUGUUACUACCUAGGCCCAUUCUGCAGAUUGAAAAACUAAAGAGACCUGCCCUAGAUUCUAUGGCUGAGGGUGGAGCCAGGAUUGAAGCCCAGGGCCGCCUGCCUGCAGGUAAACACACCACCCCCAUUCCCCAAAGGCCAUGUUGAGUAUCCCCAGCUGUCCGUGGUGGAAUCCAGAGACAGGACAGGCUAGAUGGGGGUGAUGCAGAAAUGCUCCAACUUCCGGGGCAGGACGGUGGGCUAAAUAACCUUUAAAAUCUCCUCUAAGUUCGAGGGAUUCACUGCUCACCUUGGAUCACAGGGACAGUGUUACAAUCGCUUUCCACCACCUCACUGUCAGCAUCACAGGGCCAGAAUCCACACGUGCCCUCAGCAGCUGGCCCUGAACGUAGACCAGCUCUCAGGCAUGGAGCUUGCCUGCUGCAUCAUCUUUUUAUUUUUUAAUUUAAUAUUUAUUUAAUUUUUUUUAACCUUUUUGGGAGAGUGUCUCACUAUGUUGCCCAGGCUGGUCUCAAACUCCUGGGAUCAAGCCAUCCUCCCACCUCGGCCUCCCAAAGUGCUGGGAUUCCAGGCCUGCGCCACCAUGGCCGGCCUGCACCAUCCUUUUAGCCCACAGAGAAGAACCUUAAGUGGAGAGUGAGUGGAUUUUAGCCAGGCAAGAAGGGACAAUAAUGUUCUUGGAAUGGCAUCUACAAAAGGCCAGUUGUGAGAGAAAGCAUUUUCUGGACAGAAAAGUGAAAAAGCGUUAUCAGUAAAAGGAAGGGAGUAGCAGGAGAUAAAGCCAGCAGUAAAGGAAAUCAGGUUAGAUCUGGAAGAAACUUGCAGGCCAGCUGAAGGGACUGAAAUGCAUCCUCUAUACAAAAGGAAGCCAUUGAUAACAUUCUUGUAUACAAAAUAUAUAAAGAAGUCUAAUAACUCAGCAGUUAAAAGACAAAUCACUGGCCAGGGGCAGUGGCUCACACCUGUAAUCCCAGCGCUUUAGGAGGCCCAUGCAGGUGGAUUGCUUGAGGCCAGGAGUUCGAAACCAGCCUGACCAACAUGAUGUAACCCUGUCUCUACUAAAAAUACAAAAAUCAGCCAGGCAUGAUGCACACCUGUAAUCCCAGCUACUUGGGAGGCUGAGGCAGGAGAAUCACUUGAACCUGGGAGGUGGAGGUUGCAGUGAGCUGAGAUUGCACCAUACCCAGCCAAGGGGCUCCCCCUGCCUCCCCAGAAGGGAAGCUGAAGGGUAGCUUGUCCUCAAUGGUCUUGGGCAUUGGUUUCUGUUCGUGGUGCAUCUGCCUCUGCAGUGGACUACCUGUGGGUGGACUAAUCUGUAGUCUGUUCUCCAGACAUGGCCACCCCGUAAAGUUGUGCAGACUGUACUCUGUACAGAGGGGGCUGCUGAGAUGGUGAAAGAAACUGAAAUCCAGCCUGUGCUCUUGUCAAAAAGCAAAGGCAUCUUAUAGAGGCAGCAGCCCUUACCACUCCCCCAGCUCCUCUGACACAGGUCCCACCUCCUAGGCCAAGACUGGGGCAAGGAAACCAAGGCACUCACCGCAGGCACAGAAUGUAAGGUAUAGCCCCAGAACUCAGCAAUUGGGCUGGGUGUGGUGGCUCACACCUGUAAUCACAGCACUUUGGGAGGUUGAGCCAGUGAGACUGCUUGAGCCCAGACGUUCAAGACCAGCCUGGGCAACAUAGCAAGACUCCAUCUCUACAAAAAUUUUAAAAAAUUAGCCACACAUGGUGGCACGUGCCUAUACUCCCAGCUACUUGGGAGGCUGAGGCAAGAGGAUCGUUUGAGCCCAAGAUUUCAAGGCUGCAGUGAGCCAUAAUCACACCACUGCACUCCAGCCCCAGCAACAGAGCAAACCCCUGUCUCUAAAUAAAUAAAUUAAAAAAAUUUUUUUUAAAUGAGAACAAUAUAUCAAAUUUUAGAGGGCGGAUCCAACCCUGCACAUGGAUGAUCCCGUCUCAUUCACCUCACUCUAAUCUUGGCCCUAGUUCCAAUAAAAUUUUAUUCAUAAAACCAGGCAGGCCGGGCACAUUGGCUCAUGCCUGUAAUCCCAGCAUUUUGGGAGGCUGAGUUGGGUGGAUCACAACACAAGGUCAGGAGUUGUUCACAACACAAGUUGAUCACAACACAAGACCAGCCUGGCCAAUAUGGUGAAACCCUGUCUCCACUAAAAAAUACAAAAAGGUGGCAGGCACCUGUAGUCCCAGCUACGGGGGAGGCUGAGGCAGGAGAAUCAUUUGAACCCAGGAUGCAGAGGUUGCGGCGAGCUGAGAUCGCACCACUGCACUCCAGCUUGGGCGACAGUGCAAGACUCCAUCUCAAAAACAAAAACAAAAACAAAACAAAACAAAACCAGAAAAAAAAAAAACAGGCAACAGCUGGGCACUGUGGCACACGCCUGUAGUCUCAGCUACUCAGGAGGCUGAGGCAGGAGGAUUGUUUGAGCCCUGGAAUUCGAGACCAGCCUAGGCAACACUGAGACCUUGUCUCAAAAAAUAAAUAAGUAAAUAAAUAAAUAAAUAAAAGAAUUAAAAAUAAAACUAGGCAGAAAUCCCAUGAGCCAUACUUUGCCAAUUUUAAGUAUUGCAUUUAAAUAUUAUUUAUCUUGAUUGCUGGGCUGCUCCCUUCCUGCUAGCCCUGACUUGUCCCCCUAGUCCUCAUCUCUCAGAUUGGAGGCCACUCCAGAUUUCCUUGGUACCAGCCACAGGCCAGGAACCUGAAGGGAGUUAUGGGGAAGGAUCAGCUGCAAGGAUCUCAGGGCAUCGCACUGCCUAAAGGCACCUUCUGCUCCGCUUGUCUGUUCCCUGCUGGUGCAGGAUAUUAUGAGAGUUCCAGAAGGAAGCAGGGCAUAAACUGCCUGGGGCUGAGCAGACGCACCUGUGGUCUCUAUCACCCCCUGGAGUUCUGACCUCUAAGUGAAAAGAAAAGGAGGCAGAGGUGGAGACCAGACCCAACAGCUCCUUCCAAACAAUGGUUCUGCCUGUCUCCUUGGGCUCCCCAAUUUCCCAGGAAGCCUUUCCUGCGUGGGGGGGCAACUACCCUCAGGUCUCUGCUCUGUGGUUAACUAUUUUCCUCCAUUCAUCCAUCAUUUAGUCACUUAUUUAAUAAUCAUUGGUCCCUACUACGUGCCGAGCAUUUGCUAGAUUCUAAAGAUACGGAGAAAACCCCACUACUGUCAGAGCAAACAAUAAGACCAAUGUACACAAAUAAUUACAGUAAUGUUCUGUAUAUAAAGUGCAAAAAGAAAACCUGUGUGUGCACAGGUUUAGCUGGGGCAUGGAAAAGGAUAUGAUUACUUGUCUCUGGAAGCCUCAGAACAAGGGGGUCUGAUUUCUCCAAAGAGACAAGGUGUCAAUGGAUCUUCCCAGCAGAGAGAAGCGCACGCACAAGAACCUGGAUGGAGAAGGAGCAAUGGAAACAGAAGUGAGAGAACUGAUUGAAAGAGAGGCAUUGUUAUAGCUGGGUAGCAGGCAAUCGACAUGAGCUCAUCUGAGCGUAGGAAUAAUCGUGCUACCAUUUCUAUGAGGUUGUUGAGAAUAUUAAAUGAGUUAUCUAACCCUUAGCACAGUACGUAGCACAAGGUAAUCACAAUGUUAACCACUACUACUCAUUAAAGCAUUGCAUGAGAAUAAAAGUUUAGUCACAUAGAUGGAUUUUUGCACGUGGAGAAAGGUUGAUUUAAUCAACACUUAAACACCUACUACAUCUGCAGACACUCUAUGGUUAACUUUCAGAAAUUCAAUGAUCAGUCCUGAGUUUAAACUAAGCCUUCUUGGAAUUUAAAGCUAAACUGUUUCUCUCUUAAGCUCUAGCUCUUGCAAAUCAAAAUCGCUUUGCCCAUAGACUAUUGUAUCUGCAUCUGCCUCGAGUUAAAAAAAAAAUCCAUUCAGCAACUCAAUUGACUUCUUUGUUCUAGGCUGUAGCCGCCCUCCCCAGAGGCAUCGAUGUCAUUGACUCAGUGGGUGCAGGGCUACCAGGCAAUAGGAACACGGAGGUUUACUAUUUCAAAAACAUUAUCCAGCCUCUUAUGAAACUGGCAAGAUUUAGGGAUGAAGCUUAGGUAAUGGGGAUGAGGGAAGGCUUAGAUCCAAGAGGUUUAAUUUACAGAAGGGUUUGUUUUUGGGGGGUCUUUCUUAUUCCUCCCAGGAGGGAAUAAAU
This 7833-nucleotide long non-coding RNA is filed under the name Homo sapiens (human). RNAcentral's name for it is "non-protein coding lnc-NECTIN1-1:1". The record is from RNAcentral. Lineage: Eukaryota; Metazoa; Chordata; Mammalia; Primates; Hominidae.